Molecule: ribosomal RNA, 824 nt
Filed under: uncultured bacterium
Lineage: Bacteria
Description: bacterial SSU rRNA
Rfam family: Bacterial small subunit ribosomal RNA
Source: RNAcentral
ACGGGAAGUGCCUUACGGGGCACGGAGAGUGGCGAACGGGUGAGUAACGCGUAACUGAUCUGCCCCUUAGACUAGGAUAACCUGUGGAAACAGAGGCUAAUACUGGAUAAGCUCAGCGGAGUUAGAGAGGGCUGAGGAAAGGUGAUAUAAGCGCUAAGGGAUGAGGUUGCGAGCCAUCAGCUAGUUGGUGAGGUAAAGGCUCACCAAGGCGGAGACGGCUAGGGGAUCUGAGAGGGUGGCCCCCCACACUGGGACUGAGACACGGCCCAGACUCCUACGGGAGGCAGCAGUAAGGGAUAUUGCACAAUGGACGGAAGUCUGAUGCAGCGACGUCGCGUGGGCGAAGAAGGUUUUCGGAUCGUAAAGCCCUUUUCUAUGUGGCGAGGAAGGACGGUAGCAUAGGAAUAAGUGUCGGCUAACUACGUGCCAGCAGCCGCGGUAAGACGUAGGACGCGAGCGUUAUCCGGAGUUACUGGGCGUAAAGAGCGCGCAGGCGGGAGGACAAGUUGCUUAUGAAAGGUACUGGCUAAACUGGUAUAAGCUAGGCAAAACUGUCUUUCUAGAGGGGAAGAGAGGGAAGCGGAAUUCCGGGUGUAGUGGUGAAAUGCGUAGAUAUCCGGAGGAAUAUCGGAGGCGAAGGCGGCUUUCUGGCUUCCAACUGACGCUGAGGCGCGAAAGCGUGGGUAGCGAACGGGAUUAGAAACCCCGGUAGUCCACGCCGUAAACGAUGUACAUUAGGCGUUCGUAUAGGGAACUAUAUGAGUGUCGCAGCAAACGCGGUAAAUGUACCGCCUGGGGAGUACGGUCGCAAGGCUAGAACUCAA